This 636-nucleotide ribosomal RNA is filed under the name uncultured bacterium. Its description in RNAcentral is "bacterial SSU rRNA". It matches the Rfam family "Bacterial small subunit ribosomal RNA", at positions 215 to 842 of the family's 1533-position model. The record is from RNAcentral.
UCACUCUGGGAUGGACCUGCGGUGCAUUAGCUAGUUGGUAAGGUAACGGCUUACCAAGGCGAUGAUGCAUAGCCGAGUUGAGAGACUGAUCGGCCACAAUGGAACUGAGACACGGUCCAUACUCCUACGGGAGGCAGCAGUAGGGAAUCUUCCACAAUGGGCGCAAGCCUGAUGGAGCAACACCGCGUGAGUGAAGAAGGGUUUCGGCUCGUAAAGCUCUGUUGUUGGAGAAGAACGUGCGUGAGAGUAACUGUUCACGCAGUGACGGUAUCCAACCAGAAAGUCACGGCUAACUACGUGCCAGCAGCCGCGGUAAUACGUAGGUGGCAAGCGUUAUCCGGAUUUAUUGGGCGUAAAGCGAGCGCAGGCGGUUGCUUAGGUCUGAUGUGAAAGCCUUCGGCUUAACCGAAGAAGUGCAUCGGAAACCGGGCGACUUGAGUGCAGAAGAGGACAGUGGAACUCCAUGUGUAGCGGUGGGAUGCGUAGAUAUAUGGAAGAACACCAGUGGCGAAGGCGGCUGUCUGGUCUGCAACUGACGCUGAGGCUCGAAAGCAUGGGUAGCGAACAGGAUUAGAUACCCUGGUAGUCCAUGCCGUAAACGAUGAGUGCUAGGUGUUGGAGGGUUUCCGCCCUUCA